This 29-nucleotide non-coding RNA is filed under the name Homo sapiens (human). The record is from RNAcentral. Lineage: Eukaryota; Metazoa; Chordata; Mammalia; Primates; Hominidae.
AAACUGCUGCAGGUGACACAGGUACUGGU